Manihot esculenta (cassava) is the source of this 2579-nucleotide RNA transcript. It is a transcript of the gene named L-cysteine desulfhydrase, with no coding region annotated. NCBI's taxonomy places the organism in Eukaryota, Viridiplantae, Streptophyta, Magnoliopsida, Malpighiales, Euphorbiaceae. The record is from RefSeq and is a predicted model, not a curated record. The transcript is spliced from 2 exons.
UUAUUCACGUAACCUCGUGAUCAUCGUCUUCACCUUGCAACCUAAAACGACGGCGUUGAGCCCCUCUGUCACUCUUCCUUCUAAGCCGUGGCAUUUCUACCGCCGCAUUUCCCUCGUAGGUCCUCUGAUGCUAAGCACACCGUGAGCGACGCUUCCACCCUUUCCAUUUUCGAGCCGCGUUUCAAAUCAUGCCCAAUCUUGGUCACAAACCCUAACUCACCCCAAUGGAAAACGAAGAUCCUCGAAACGGUGAAUCGUCUCAGCAGCACCAACCCACCAAGAAGCCCCGUCUCACUCGGUUCAUAACCGAAGCCGAAAUCCGAGGAGAGUUCGCUCACCACCUGUCUGGCAUAGCCCGAAUCAACAACGGUAGCUUCGGGAGCUGCCCCGGAUCUGUGCUCGCUGCCCAAAGGAAGUGGCAGCUCAAGUUCCUUCAGCAGCCCGACGAUUUCUACUUCAAUACACUCCGCCAGGGGAUACUCCACUCGCGGACAGUUGUUAAAGACCUUAUUAAUGCUGACAACGUGGAUGAGGUCUCCCUCGUCGACAACGCCACCACCGCUGCUGCCAUCGUCCUCCAGCAGGUAGGCCGUUCCUUCGCCGACGGUAAAUUCCACAACAACGACACUGUUUUGAUGCUUCAUUGCGCCUAUGAAGCUGUAAAAAAAUCUAUCCACGCUUAUGUCACGUGUGCUGGCGGAUCAGUAAUAGAAGUUCAGCUUCCAUUUCCCGUUAACUCCGAUGCAGAGAUUAUCACAGAAUUCAGGAAAGGGAUAGAGAAAGGUAAGUCCGAUGGUAGAAAAGUUAGGUUAGCAAUAAUUGAUCACAUCACAUCAAUGCCAUGUGUCGUGACUCCAGUCCGGGAAUUGGUUAAAAUUUGUAGAGAAGAAGGCGUAGACCAAAUCUUUGUAGAUGCAGCUCACGCUAUGGGUAGUGUUAAAGUAGAUGUUAAAGAAAUUGGGGCUGAUUUUUAUGUCAGCAAUUUGCACAAGUGGUUUUUUUGCCCACCAUCGGUUGCAUUUUUGUAUUGUAAGAAGACAAGCUCCUCCUCUGAUGUGCAUCACCCUGUGGUUUCACAUGAAUAUGGGAAUGGACUGCCAAUAGAGAGUGCUUGGAUUGGGACGCGGGAUUACAGUUCGCAGUUGGUAGUAUCAUCUGCUUUGGAGUUUGUAAAUCGAUUUGAAGGAGGAAUCUGUGGGAUAAUGAAGAGGAACCGUGAGAAGGUUGUUGAAAUGGGAAAAAUGUUAGCGGAGUCUUGGGGAACAAAACUUGGGGCCCCACCGGAGAUGUGCGCAAGCAUGAUUAUGGUCGGCUUGCCUUCAACAUUGAGGGUAAUGAGUCAAGACGAUGCUUUGAGGUUAAGGUCGUAUUUGCGUUCGAAUCAUGGCGUUGAGGUUCCAAUUCAUUAUCAGGCUCCUAGAGAUGGUGAGGCGGUUGUGAAGGAUAAGGAUGAGUUCAUAAAAGCGUAUGCAAGGAUCUCUCAUCAGGUCUAUAAUACGCUUGACGAUUAUUGCAAGCUUAGGGAUGCUAUAAAUCAGAUUGUUGAUGAUCCCCAGAUAUCUGAAAAGCUUUUCACAGAAUGAAUAGGUAUUCUUUUUGCACACAAUUGGAAUUUCUUGUGAAGUAUUUAUUUGGAAAUGUAAAAUUUCUGUGAUUUGUGCUGAUUGUGUCAAUCUUUAGUACUUGACAUAGUCCCUUUACAUUUCCAUUACAAUAUAACUCAACGAACUUGAGGACCAAUUAAUGAUGGAUGAUCAGUUAUGGAUCGUUUAUGUGCUGCCAAUGAGAGGUAUGCAAUUUUGGACGUGCAAAUGCCUGGCACUCGUCUGUUCUAUAUAUGCUUUCUUAUGCUAUAAAAUUCUCGGUUAGGAAGUGUUUGCCCUCGUUUUUUUUUUUUUUUGUGAAUGUUUUUUUACCUGGUUAGUGAUGUAACUGGUAAGAGGGGUUACAAGAGUAGGGUUUUUUUUUUUUUUUUUUUUUUUUUUUUUUUUCUAGAUUUAGGUUUCAAAAUGUAUGAGCUUUUGGGUGUAUUGAGCUUAAAGUGUUGCUUUUGCUAAUGCAUUAAGGAUUUCUUGGAUAAACACAUCAGCCAAAAGCGAAGAGAAAACGAUUAGGUAGGAUGGAGACAAAAGAGGAAGCUCACUAAGAAGGGAUGACAUGGUCCUUAAGACAAUAUGGCACCGUUUCGUGCCUUUUUGUGGAGAAUGGCUUCAGCCUUCAGGCAUGGCCUAUGAAAUUGGAGAUAGUAGAUGGGUGAUUGGAAUGAUCUGGUUGGAAGAGACUUGUUUAAAGGACUUGAUGCGAUUGGCAAUCAUCUUUUGGCUUAGUUCAUCUGCUUGGAUGCAGCAAGCCAGGUUGUUGCUGGCAAUCUUUAAUUUUUGCAACUUUAUGCCAUUCUUGGACUGGGGAACUGUUAGUCUGUCAGUUCUUGGCUUUAUAGGUGUAAUUUGAGAACUGCGUGAAGUUACUUUGAAAAUAUGAGGGAGGAUAAUAUGUAGUGAAAUUCUCAAAUGACCUCUUCUCAUUUGCAGUAUUUUUUGUGAGCUUACAGUAAGCAUUUGCAUUCCCUGGUUCUGUGA